CUACGGGGCGCUGCAGUGGGGAAUAUUGGACAAUGGGGGCAACCCUGAUCCAGCAAUGCCGCGUGUGUGAAGAAGGCCUGCGGGUUGUAAAGCACUUUCAAUAGGGAGGAAAAGCUUUGGGUUAAUACCCCGAAGUCUUGACGUUACCUUUAGAAGAAGCACCGGCUAACUCUGUGCCAGCAGCCGCGGUAAUACAGAGGGUGCGAGCGUUAAUCGGAAUUACUGGGCGUAAAGCGCGCGUAGGCGGUUUGAUAAGUCAGAUGUGAAAGCCCCGGGCUUAACCUGGGAACUGCAUUUGAUACUGUCAAACUAGAGUAUGGUAGAGGGUAGUAGAAUUCCUGGUGUAGCGGUGAAAUGCGUAGAUAUCAGGAGGAAUACCAGUGGCGAAGGCGGCUACCUGGACCAAUACUGACGCUGAGGUGCGAAAGCGUGGGGAGCAAACAGGAUUAGAUACCCUCGUAGUC
RNAcentral lists this ribosomal RNA (464 nucleotides) under uncultured bacterium. RNAcentral's name for it is "partial 16S ribosomal RNA". It matches the Rfam family "Bacterial small subunit ribosomal RNA", at positions 339 to 795 of the family's 1533-position model. The record is from RNAcentral.